Molecule: ribosomal RNA, 497 nt
Filed under: uncultured bacterium
Lineage: Bacteria
Description: partial 16S ribosomal RNA
Rfam family: Bacterial small subunit ribosomal RNA
Source: RNAcentral
GAUGAACGCUGGCGGCGUGCCUAAUACAUGCAAGUCGAGCGAACAGAUCAGGAGCUUGCUCCUCCGACGUUAGCGCCGGACGGGUGAGUAACUCGUGGAUAAACUACCUAUAAGAAUGGGAUAACUUCGGGAAACCGGAGCUACUACCGGAUAAUAUAUUGCACUUCAUGGUUCAAUAGUGUAAGACGGUUUUGCUGUCACUUAUAGAUGGAUCCGCGCCGCAUUAGCUAGUUGGUAAGGUACCGGCUUACCAAGGCAACGAUGCGUAACCGACCUCAAAGGGAGGACGACCAGACUGGAACAGAGGCACAGUCCAGACACCGACGGGGAGCAGCAGUAGAAAAUCUUCCGCGAAGGGCGAAUGCCGGACGGAGCGACACCGCGUAAAGGAUGAAGGUCUUCGGAUCGUAGAACUCUGUUAUUAGUGAGGAAGAAAUGUGUAAGUAACGAUGCACGUCUUGACGGUACCUAAACAGAAAGCCACGGCUAACUACGUG